This 468-nucleotide ribosomal RNA is filed under the name uncultured bacterium. RNAcentral describes it as "partial 16S ribosomal RNA". It matches the Rfam family "Bacterial small subunit ribosomal RNA", at positions 28 to 507 of the family's 1533-position model. The record is from RNAcentral.
GACGAACGCUGGCGGCGUGCUUAACACAUGCAAGUCGAACGGAAAGGCCCUUCUUUUGUUGGGUGCUCGAGUGGCGAACGGGUGAGUAACAUGUGAGUAACCUACCCUUCACUCUUGUAUAACUUAAGGACACUGGGGCUAAUAUCGGAUAGGAGCUCCUGCUGCUUGGUGGUGGUGGGAAAGUUUCGGCGGUUGGUGCUGGACUCGCGGCUUGUGAGCCCGUUGGUGGGGUAGUGGGUUACCUAGGCUUUGACGGGUAGCCGGCCUGAGAGGGUGACCGGCCACAUUGGGACUGAGAUACGGCCCAGACUCCUACGGGAGGCAGCAGUGGGGAAUAGUGCACAAUGGGGGGAAGCCGGAUGCAGCAACGCCGCGUGCGGGAUGAAGGCCUUCGGGUUGUAAACCGCUUUCGCCUGUGACGAAGCGUGAGUGACGGUAAUGGGUAAAGAAGCACCGGCUAACUACGUG